GAUGAACGCUGGCGGCGUGCCUAAUACAUGCAAGUCGAGCGAACAGAUGAGGAGCUUGCUCCUCUGACGUUAGCGGCGGACGGGUGAGUAACACGUGGAUAACCUACCUAUAAGACUGGGAUAACUUCGGGAAACCGGAGCUAAUACCGGAUAAUAUUUUGAACCGCAUGGUUCAUUAGUGAAAGACGGUUUUGCUGUCACUUAUAGAUGGAUCCGCGCCGCAUUAGCUAGUUGGUAAGGUAACGGCUUACCAAGGCAACGAUGCGUAGCCGACCUGAGAGGGUGAUCGGCCACACUGGAACUGAGACACGGUCCAGACUCCUACGGGAGGCAGCAGUAGGGAAUCUUCCGCAAUGGGCGAAAGCCUGACGGAGCAACGCCGCGUGAGUGAUGAAGGUCUUCGGAUCGUAAAACUCUGUUAUUAGGGAAGAACAAAUGUGUAAGUAACUAUGCACGUCUUGACGGUACCUAAUCAGAAAGCCACGGCUAACUACGUG
This 497-nucleotide ribosomal RNA is filed under the name uncultured bacterium. RNAcentral's name for it is "partial 16S ribosomal RNA". It matches the Rfam family "Bacterial small subunit ribosomal RNA", at positions 28 to 507 of the family's 1533-position model. The record is from RNAcentral.